ACCCGGCGGCCGUGGUCCCUGCGCGCGGCACGAGGCAUGGUAUCUCCCAGAAUAUCCUGUGAAUGUUCGCAUUAGUCUGCUCAUCAGAUUGCUUUCCAACCAAAAAAUACUGUGUUCUACAAAGGAGGAGCAUCUUUAUCUCAAAGCAGCAGUUCUUAUCGCCAAGUAUUCAGCAUCUCUUUGGAAUUCAUUUGUCAGCCUCUCUGGUUCCGGGAGCUGUAUUUGCCUAUCUUAGUUUGCUGAGUGCAGCGAAGAAUCUAGAACAGUGGUUCUCACACCAGCAUCAUUUGCAUCCAGUGUGAGCUUCUUUGAAAUGCAAAUUUGAAGGCCUCACCCCAAACUACUGAAUCAGAAUCUCUGGUGUUGGGGCCCCAGGAGACUACUUAAGCAAGCUCUCCUGGGGAUGCCUGUGCCCCCCCAGAGUUUGAGAAUGAUUGCUCCAGAAGAAUACCUAUACAGGGCUGCACUGAAGCCCGGGGGUAAAAAGAAAACAGAGGUUAACUUGCUUCGAGAUAUCCUGCUGACAAGAUAUGACUUGGUCUCUCCGACAUAUGUGACUCCCAACCCAACUAGUUCCUAGCUUGCUGUUUCUAAAGGACCCCAAAUGUAGACUUUUGCCCCUUUUGAAGUCAAGAUCAGAAGUUCUCAGGAUUUUAAAAUGUCAGGCUUCCCUAUUGCCCCCAAAUUGUUCAAAGUCCUUUGAUAGUAGGCAUACUUUUAUGUGCAUACUGUUUAUAUAUUUGAGGAAAUAUAUAAUGAACAAAGUCUAUUAAUUUAAAAAAUUACAAAUUCAUUUAAAAGAAUUAUGAAAUUAAGUAGCAAAGUGUAUUUUUAAAUAAUAGUACAUAUAUGUAUGAGAUACUCAUUUUACAGAUAAUGCUUGGUGGAUUACAUAUUUGGAUUCAUAGCAAUGUCUUCAACUUACUCCUUGGCCCCUUCAAUCCCUGUUUGGGAACCACUGCUCUAGACCAAAGGAAAUGAAGCAUAGCGAGAGUUUGGAGUCCCUUCUUUCACUGGAACAAGGCCUGCCUUCUGCACUUUAGUAUACUGUUUAAGAGGCUCUCUCCCCUCAAUGUAUAAUUUAUACCCCUUUCAGAGAAAACUCUACUUACUACCCAUAGCCCCUCCUGUGGUUUGAAUAAUGGUGUCCCCUCCAAAAUUCACGUUGAAACUUUAUCCUCAUGGUGGCAGUAUUAAGAGGUUGGCAUUUGGGGAAGUGAUUAAGUUAUGAGGGUUCUGCUCUCAUGAAUUUGAUUAGUGCCUCAUAAAAGGACUGGAGGGAAUUAGCUUGGGCCGUUUUUGCCCUUCUGUCCUGCCAUGUGAAGGCCCCUAGGUGGCACCAUGAGGAAUGGGCCUUCAGCAGACACCAAACCUGCUGGUGCCUUGACCUUGGACUUCUCAGCCUUCAGAACUGUGAGAAAUAAAUUUCUGUUAUUUGCAAAUGACACAGUUGCAGCUAUUUCAUUAUAGCAGCACAAACAGACUACCCUUAUAGCUAGAACUUCAGAGGCACAAGCAUAUCAAAAUACAGCCUAAAAGCCUGGUGUCUACAAGAGCUGUACAUUUAUAGAGCUGGGCAGACAUUUGUUAUACAAAUUCAGAUUGUACAGAUUACAGUGAGAAUGAACUUCAGUUAAAUAUAUGUAGUUUUUAAUAAACUUUUAAUUGAAAUAUACACAAAAAUGCACACAAAUCACAAGUGCAUAGCUCAGGGAGUUUUUACAGAGUGAACAUAGCUGUCUAUCAAUACUCAGGCCAAGAACAGGAAAUUUAUCUCUCCUCCAGAAAGCCCCUGGAGCGCCAUCCUAAAUCCUCCCCCUUGAGUAACCAGCCCCAAGCCCUCUAACACCGUAGAUUAGUUUUGCCUUUUUUGAACUUUGUUUAAUUAUAUAAUAUGUGCUUUUUAAUGUCUGACUGCUUUUGCUCAAGUUAGUGAGAGUCAUCCACGUUGUAGGAAUAGUUUGUUCAUUCUUGCUGCUAAAUAGCAUAUGAUUGUUUGAGUCUACUACCAUUUAUUUGUUCUGAAUUUGGUUGUUUCCAGUUUGGCCUUCUCAUGAAGAGAACCAUUAAGGACAUGUUUGUCCUUGUCUUUUGGUAGACAUACACUCAUUUCUUGUGGGCAUAUGUCUAGGAGUGGGAUUGCUGGAUUGCAGUGUAUCUAUAUGUUCAUCAUACACUGCUGAACAGUUUUCUGAGUGAUUGCACCCGCACUUGAGCUUGGACACAGGAUAAGGAUGGCCACUAUCAUCACUUCUGUUCUAUACUGUAUAGUUAUAGCAACAAGUGAGGAAAAUUAAGAAGUGGUAUAAUGAUUGGAAAGGAUGAAACAAAGUUGAUAUUAUAGCCAAUAUAUUGUACACAUAGAAAAUCCAAAGUAAUCUACAGGUCAACUAUUAGAUUAAUAAGUGAAUUUAGGCUAGGUGCAGUGGCUCACACCUGUAAUCCGAGCACUUUGGGAAGUCAAAGUGGGAGGAUCACUUGAGGCCAGUAGCUGGAGUGCAGCGGUGCAAUCUCAGCUCAUUGCAACCUCUGCCUCCUGGGUUCACGCCAUUCUCCCGCCUCAGCCUCCCAAGUAGUUGGGAAUACAGGUGCCCGCCACCACGCCUGGCUAAUUUUUUAGUAGAGAUGGGGUUUCACCGUGUUAGCCAGUAUAGUCUUGAUCUCCUGACCUCGUGAUCCGCCCACCUUGGCCUCCCAAAGUGCUGGGAUUACAGGUGUGAGCCACUGCGCCCGGCAGAAAAAGCAGUUGUAUUUCUACAUAGCAACAGCAACUAGAAAAUUUUUAAACAUUGGAAUAUAAACUAUUCCGAAAAAUUCUUAACAAAAGAUUAGCAAAACCUCUAGUCUGAAAACCACAACAUAUCACUCAGAGGAAUGAAAGAAGAGCUAAAUAAAUGGAAGGAUAUACGAUGUAAUGUCUUGGAAACUUUAGUAUUGUAAAGUUGCCAGUGCUUCUCAAAGUCAUGUAUGAAUUCAGUGCAAUCUCAAUCAAAAUCUCACCAUAUUUUUGUAGUGGAAAUUGACAAGCUGAUGCUACCAUUUACAAAUAAAAAUGCAAGGGGCCAAGAAUAGCCAAAAUAAUCUUAAGGAAGAAGAAAAUGGAAGUUUUACCUCACCAGAUAAUAAGAUUUACUCUAAAGCUACGAUAAUUAAAACAGCGUGUUCUUAGUGUGAAGAUAGACAAAUAGAAGAAUGGAACAGAAUAGAGUCUAAAGAAGAACUCAAGGGCCAAAAGUAGCCAAGAAGAACAGAUCUGGAAGACAUUAUCCCUCCAGAUAUCAAGAUCUCUUAUAAAGAUAUGUGGUAUCGACGCAAGGAAAGGCAAGCUGACCAAGGCAAGCUGACCAGUGGAACUAAACAAAGUCCAGAAACAGGUUCACACAUAUAGUCAUCCGGUGUGUAUCUUUGUGUGUGUGUAUUUCACAAAGGCUUAAAGUAAUGUGUCUUCAAUAAAUGGUGCUACAUCCAAAAGAGCAUAACUAUAUGUUUCCAUUUUAUAUGAAGUUCAAAAAUAGACAACAGAAUAGUGAUUACCUCUGGAGGCAGCUGGGGGCUGCCUCUGGUAGGGUGGGGGUGUUGCCUGGGAAGAAGCAUGAGAGAAUCUUCAGGGGUCCUGGAAAUAUUCCAUAUCUUGAUUUGGUUGGUGGUACACUGUUGUGUAUAAUAUACACGUAUUUGUACAUGUGUGUAUAAAAUGUCAUUGAGCUCCACAUUUAAGAUUUUUUGGACUUUAUUAUAUGUAUGCUAACCUCAAUAAAACUAAAAAAUUCCUCACUCGAGUGAAAACUUUUUUAAUUUAAAUAAAAAUAAACGGUAUUUCAUUUAGAAAUGGAAACCAGGCACAUUAUCUUACACAGUAUUUCAUAAACUACCAUCACCUAGUGAAUAUAGCAAAAGACUGUAUAUGGCUUCAAAGCCACAUAAUGCACCUAAAUUCUCUAAAAUUGCCAGCAAUUACAAAGUGAUAGAUAUGAGCCACAUAGGAUCAAGAUGGGGAUUCACUCAUUCCAUAUUUUGGAGCCACAAAGUAUAUCUGCUGCCUAGGUUUGGACCAAAUGCAAUUAAUGUAUCAAACAAAAAAUCCUAAUAUUUAUUCAGCUUCAUCCACAGCCUCCAAAAAUGGUUUUAGUAAAAGACCAAAUAAAUUACGGUUUUUAAAAAAACUUUCGGGGCUGGGCGCGGUGGCUCACGCCUGUAAUCCCAGCACUUUGGGAGGCCGAGACGGGCGGAUCACGAGGUCAGGAGAUCGAGACCAUCCUGGCUAACACGGUGAAACCCCGUCUCUACUAAA
RNAcentral lists this long non-coding RNA (4291 nucleotides) under Homo sapiens (human). RNAcentral's name for it is "non-protein coding lnc-SEH1L-5:8". Lineage: Eukaryota; Metazoa; Chordata; Mammalia; Primates; Hominidae. The record is from RNAcentral.